Molecule: ribosomal RNA, 754 nt
Filed under: marine metagenome
Description: bacterial SSU rRNA
Rfam family: Bacterial small subunit ribosomal RNA
Source: RNAcentral
GAAAGCAUGGGUAGCGAAGAGGAUUAGAUACCCUCGUAGUCCAUGCCGUAAACGAUGUGUGUUAGACGUUGGAAAUUUAUUUUCAGUGUCGCAGCGAAAGCGAUAAACACACCGCCUGGGGAGUACGACCGCAAGGUUAAAACUCAAAUGAAUUGACGGGGACCCGCACAAGUAGUGGAGCAUGUGGUUUAAUUCGAAGAUACGCGCAGAACCUUACCAACACUUGACAUGUUCGUCGCGACUUUAAGAGAUUAAAGUUUUCGGUUCGGCCGGACGAAACACAGGUGCUGCAUGGCUGUCGUCAGCUCGUGUCGUGAGAUGUUGGGUUAAGUCCCGCAACGAGCGCAACCCUCACUUUUAGUUGCCAUCAUUAAGUUGGGCACUCUGAAAGAACUGCCAGUGAUAAGCUGGAGGAAGGUGGGGAUGACGUCAAGUCCUCAUGGCCCUUACGUGUUGGGCUACACACGUGCUACAAUGGUAUCUACAACAGGAAGCAAGACUGCGAAGUUAAGCAAAUCCUUAAAAGAUACCUCAGUUCGGAUUGCACUCUGCAACUCGAGUGCAUGAAGCUGGAAUUACUAGUAAUCGUGGAUCAGCGUGCCACGGUGAAUGCGUUCCCGGGUCUUGUACACACCGCCCGUCACACCAUGGGAGUUGGUUCUACCUUAAGGCAAGGUUUCAAACCCUUGACCACGGUAUAGUCAGCGACUGGGGUGAAGUCGUAACAAGGUAGCCGUAGGGGAACCUGCGGCUG